This 523-nucleotide ribosomal RNA is filed under the name Timon tangitanus. RNAcentral's name for it is "partial 16S ribosomal RNA". It matches the Rfam family "Bacterial large subunit ribosomal RNA", at positions 1816 to 2601 of the family's 2925-position model. Lineage: Eukaryota; Metazoa; Chordata; Lepidosauria; Squamata; Lacertidae. The record is from RNAcentral.
AGCCUUUAGCCCUACUAGUAUUAAAGGUCUUGCCUGCCCAGUGACUCUUUAAACGGCCGCGGUAUCCUAACCGUGCAAAGGUAGCAUAAUCACUUGUCCCCUAAAUAGGGACUGGAAUGAAUGGCUAAAUGAGGACCAAACUGUCUCUUACAGGUUGGCCAAUGAAAUUGAUAUUCCAGUACAAAAGCUGGAAUAAACCCAUAAGACGAGAAGACCCUGUGGAGCUUUAAAGCCAAGUCCACUAAAUAUGGCCCUUGAAUUUUCAGUUGGGGCGACUUUGGAGUAAAACAAAACCUCCAAGAAAACUUCUAUUAAGGUUAACACACCAAAAUAAUAAUAUAGACCCAGCAAAAUUCCAACCAAUUGCCUGAUCAAUGAACCAAGUUACCCCAGGGAUAACAGCGCCAUCCCCUUUUAGAGUCCCUAUCGACAAGGGGGUUUACGACCUCGAUGUUGGAUCAGGACACCCCAAUGGUGCAGCCGCCAUUAAAGGUUCGUUUGUUCAACGAUUAAAGUCCUACGU